This 130-nucleotide ribosomal RNA is filed under the name uncultured bacterium. RNAcentral describes it as "partial 16S ribosomal RNA". It matches the Rfam family "Bacterial small subunit ribosomal RNA", at positions 226 to 353 of the family's 1533-position model. The record is from RNAcentral.
UGUGCCCAGAUGGGAUUAGCUAGUAGGUGGGGUAACGGCUCACCUAGGCGACAAUCCCUAGCUGGUCUGAGAGGAUGACCAGCCACACUGGAACUGAGACACGGUCCAGACUCCUACGGGAGGCAGCAUG